GGGUAGCCGGCCUGAGAGGGUGACCGGCCACACUGGGACUGAGACACGGCCCAGACUCCUACGGGAGGCAGCAGUGGGGAAUAUUGCACAAUGGGCGCAAGCCUGAUGCAGCACGCGCUGCGUGGGAUGACGGCUUGGGUUGUAACCUCUUUAGUAGGGAAGAAGCGAAAGUGACGGUACUGCAGAAAAAGCACCGGCUAACUACGUGCCAGCAGCCGCGGUAAUACGUAGGGUGCAAGCGUUGUCGGAAUUAUUGGGCGUAAAGAGCUCGUAGGCGGCUUGUCGCGUCUGCUGUGAAAUCCCGGGGCUCAACCCCGGGCCUGCAGUGGGUACGGGCAAGCUAGAGUGCGGUAGGGGAGAUUGGAAUUCCUGGUGUAGCGGUGGAAUGCGCAGAUAUCAGGAGGAACACCGAUGGCGAAGGCAGAUCUCUGGGCCGCUACUGACGCUGAGGAGCGAAAGCAUGGGGAGCGAACAGGAUUAGAUACCCUGGUAGUCCAUGCCGUANACGUUGGGAACUAGAUGUAGGGCCUGUUCCACGGGUUCUGUGUCGUAGCUAACGCAUUAAGUUCCCCGCCUGGGGAGUACGGCCGCAAGGCUAAACUCAAAGGAAUUGACGGGGGCCCGCACAAGCGGCGGAGCAUGCGGAUUAAUUCGAUGCACGCGAAGAACCUUACCAAGGCUUGACAUAGCCGAGAACGCUGUAGAGAUACAGAACUCUUUGGACACUCGGUUACAGGUGGUGCAUGGUUGUCGUCAGCUCGUGUCGUGAGAUGUUCGGUUAAGUCCGGCAACGAGCGCAACCCUCGUCCUAUGUUGCCAGCACGUUAUGGGGGAACUCAUGGGAUACUGCCGUGGUCACACGGAGGAAGGUGGGGAUGACGUCAAAUCAUCAUGCCCUUAUGUCUUGGGCUUCACGCAUGCUACAAUGGCCGAUACAAAGGGCUGCGAUACCGCGAGGUGGAGCGAAUCCCAAAAAGUC
Molecule: ribosomal RNA, 979 nt
Filed under: uncultured Leucobacter sp.
Lineage: Bacteria; Bacillati; Actinomycetota; Actinomycetes; Micrococcales; Microbacteriaceae
Description: bacterial SSU rRNA
Rfam family: Bacterial small subunit ribosomal RNA
Source: RNAcentral